Molecule: long non-coding RNA, 4310 nt
Filed under: Mus musculus (house mouse)
Lineage: Eukaryota; Metazoa; Chordata; Mammalia; Rodentia; Muridae
Description: long non-coding RNA chr18:39150824-39155134
Source: RNAcentral
AGAAAGACUCUACAUGGAUAAAAGCAUGAUCCAAAGGGGGAGAUGUAUGUUUGCAAAGGCAGAUCAUGGCGUCUGCUGCUUAGAGAACACAAUGAAUCAAGCCAUUGCCUCUUGCAGAUGAUCUCAGCUCCUUUGUGGCUCUUUCCUAGCCCAUGCUGGUGGGAUGGUACGGCUGAAUAGACGAAUGUGCUGUUCUACCCAUCUGUAUGUUAGACUAAUACAGGACACAAUCUAGUCGACAAACAAAAAACACAAGCCAGUAUGUAUAUAACCUUUAGUAAUAUAGAUUCACAUUCCAGCAACUACUUAAAGUUGGGCCAAAUUGGUUAAAGUAUAAAGAAAUAGCUGUUUAAUCUGAAUUCCUUUCUUGGGCCAAAAGAUAAGAUAACCUCAAUUUUCCUUAUAUACAUUGUUAUCCAUAGAAGCAAGCCCAAUUGAGAACUGUGUGCGCGCGUGUGUGUGUAUGUAUGUGUGUGUAUGUGUAUGUUUUACAGAUUUAGCAUCUUAAAACCUACUUAUUUCCUACUGUUUUAGGAAAUAUGUGUUGUGAUUCAUUUUACAGAUGAGAAAACAGGUUUAUGAAUGUUAAAUAAUUCACUGCAAGCCUUACAGGCUAUCUUUAUAUAGAACAUGCCAAGAUGCUAUCCAGUGAAGAGACACAGUAGCACAUGUGGAGCCUUACAGGCUAUCUUUAUAUAGAACAUGCCAAGAUGCUAUCCAGUGAAGAGACACAGUAGCACAUGUGGAGAGAAGUGGGUGUGGCUGGCAGAGCUCUUAUUUGAGCCCUUACCCAGCAUGACUGCUCUGUUCCCUAACCCAUGGUGUCCUGGAUUCGGUCAUUCCCCUGCUCCAGCAUGGAAAUGGAAUUGGAAUCAUCCUGGGAAAACAUUGUGAAGAACUUAGAGGUCACGUGCUACUUCCAUUAGUAGACAUGACGUGGCCAUGUCUGUCCUCAGUUGACCAUGAGGAAAUCCAGAUGCAGGUAGGCAGCCGUUGGCCCUUCCAGUCAGUGCCUAGCACCCUCCAGGGAAGAAGAGGAGAGAUGGUGCUGUGAAUGGCUGGCAGGGCCGCUCCAGUGACACAGCUGAGGUCUAUUUCUAGAUGUAUUUAGGUUUCAUCUCACAGAGAUAUAUUUUCAGACUGUCUCCUCGGGAUUCAUGCUCAGUGGCUUCUGCAUUACUUACUUUUUCUGGCUCUCUUGAAUGACUCCCCAAACGCAUAGAAUAAGGACUCCUGUCAUUGCAUGAUAUUAUUGGUAUGAGUUCAAAAAAAACAAAAUGAAACAGAACCAUAAUAAAACAACAAACACCUCGCUCCUCACUGCCCCCAGCUCAGCUUCCGAUACUGCCUUUCCACCGUUUCAGGCUUCCUCUUCCUUCCACUCCUCCCUGCCACGUGAUAUUUGUUCUGCCCUGUGUAUGGUUGGCCUCUUACUAACCACUUCAGUCUUCCCAUAGGCUAACACCUGGCCUCUGCAGAUGAAAGUACUCUUGAAGAGAAGCAGCUUUUUGCUCUAGAAUGUACACAUUAAUAAUAAGUCUAAACAAGAGAUAGUUCUGUCUCUAAACAAAACGAAACAGAACCAUAAUAAACCAACAAAAACCUCUAAACAUUCCAUAACCUGUUCUCACAGAGGAAUGUAUACCUCGUGCUGGAAACUACACCUCUGUGUGCUUUUCAGCAUCCUAAAGGGACAGAUAAAUACAGACAAACGAGGGCUAUGUAAUUGACAGUAACAUGAGGUGUAAUUUUGUCUCCCACUGCUGAGAGCACAGUAGACAAUUAGCAGCUCCAUUUUAAUCACCUCCUCCCUAAUUAGUUAAAUAUGUCCCCUUGGGAGUUUUGGCUUUGUCUGGUUGGCUUUUCCACAAGCUGAUCUUAGAGUAAUUCCCGAAUAUUGAGAGGCUUUCUCAUGUCAGGGAGAUAUAAAGUUGGGCACCUGCUGGCUUAGAAUAUUACUCAGUAUUAUGAUGUUCUUAGAGGUGGUGCAGGGGAAUUUUAGUUUCUUUUCUUUUUGUUCUUUCAUUGUUCAGUAAUACUUUAGGAUGACUGGUGGGGGUGUCUAAAUAAACCGCAGUUUAGUUGAUUUUGUAGCAUGUUAAUUAUUACAUAAACCACAGAUUUUGGCCUAUAGUCACAGUCUGUCUUAAAGACAUGUUGACCAUUUUCAUGGUAUUGGUGGGUAUGUGAGAGAGGAAGAAGCUGAAGCUGUAUUUUAACAUUAAACAUUAUGGAUUUUAUCCACAUAUCAAUGAGAUCUUUCAACUCAAAUGAAGGGGCCCCUGUUCAAACUUGCUUGAGAAAAAACUGAUGGUGUAACUGAAAACACCACAGUGUAGUAUAUUUCGGCCCAUUUGAAUCAGUUACAUAAUGUUCAGAGUUGGCUGCUUUUCUGCUAGCUUUAUUUUCUGAUGUAUUCUUUCCACAUACAGCAAGAGGGUUCUUAACUAUUCUAGGUGGAUAUCUAGACAUAUAUCAUAAUCAAUCAUAAUCAUACCAUCAUAUUCUUUGUCAUCUUUAUUUUCUGAGAUGUUCUCACUGUGUAGUUCAGGUUUGCUUCCAAUUUGCAUUUGUGUGUGUGUGUGGUGUGUAUGCAUGCGUGUGUAUGCAUGCGCAUGUGCGUGCACAUGAUAUUGGAGUUUGAACCCACGGCCUUCAGCAUGCUAUGUAAGUGUUCUACUACUGGUGUACUGGUAUUUCUAUUCACUACAUCUUAUUAUUAGGAAUUUGUGACAGUAAAAUUUGUGAAACUGAACAGACAGUAUUUCAGACUCCGUGGGCCAACAUAGUGGCUGCUGUAGUUUUUGAAGUUUCCCAAAUUUGUUCAAAAGUCGUCAAAGGCAGGAUACCAGUGAAUGAGUACAGUCGUCUUUCAGUGAGAUUUUGCUUACAAAACAAAGAAGUUGCGUCUGGGCUAAGCUUUUUGGUCUAUACAAACAUUGGUAAGAGAUUCUUUGCAAAAUAACUUCAAAGGAAUUCCAUAUUUGAGUUUUAGUGAAGUAAGUGCUUUGUCCAGAGGAUGUAGUAGAUGAAGUGACCAGACUUGACAUGCUCACUGAAACCGUUGUCAUCAUCACUAAUGAUGAAUGUUGACAUCCUCUGGAGAAAAAUUAUUGCAGCAUGGCAGAGGAGAGCGGGCAUGAGAUUGGGAAAAGAAGUGGUUUCUUUACUCUGAGACCCAUCUUCUAAUAACCCUUCUCUUCAGAGAGCCUACUCUUUGAUACUUGAUCACACAUGCAUCACUAGUGUCACACUUAGCAUAAAAGACGAGGUGCUGUCCACCAAGACUGGGACGGACAUAGGUUCACCUCUCAUUCAGCUGAGUCCCAGGAGUCCCAGCUGGUGCAUGAGAGCAGGAAAACAGUACAAAGGACUGAUAUGUUGGAAAGAAAGAUGUAAAAUUGCCGUAUUUUCAUAUAGCAUGAUUAUCUAUUUAGGAAAUGUUUGUCAAAAACAAAUAAACAAACAAACACCCGCCAAUAAGCACUAGGAAUUAGAUGGUAAGGUCUCCGAGAGGGUGUUAGAUUCUUUCCCUAUUCCAUCAUUAUAGUUUUAUAACCUAGCAAUAAAUAAAUGGUAUCCAAACUUACAAACACAUUGUAUUCACACCCCCCCCCCCAAUAGUGCCUAGGCACAGAUCUAAGUAAGCACUGGAAAGUGUCAUAAAAGCAGAGCCAAAAAAAAAAAAAAAUGGAGAGUGUACUGCACCCACAGAUCAGGGGAAUCGGUUUGUAAAGGAGUCGGCUCUCCAAACAGAUCUGUAGGUGUAAUGCAAUUCCUAUCAAGACUGUGGCGAAUUCUCUCUAAAAUUUAUAUAUAAAGCUGCAGAAAGCAGUGAAGCUAAAGCAAUUUAAGAAAAGGGAAUGAAGUGAGAUGAUUUAUUCUACUCUAUUUUAAGACUUCCUUUAUAGUGACAAUAAUCAAGACAUUGUAUUGACAGAGGAUAGACACCUAGAUCAAUGGAACAGAAUAAAGAACCCAGAAAUAGACUUCCACAGACAUGCGCAAUUGAUUUUAGACAGAAGUGCAAAAGCAAUUCAAUAAAGAAAAAAAGCUUUCUCUCUUUCUUUUUCUUUUUCUUUUCUUUUUUUUUUUUUUGAGUCAACAGAAACCACACAAAUGGUACUUUUCAAAGUAAUAGAUACCAUAGGCAAAAACCUGGGACCUCAACUUAAAUUUUAUAUUUUACAUAUGAAUUAAUUCAAAGUGAGUCAUAGAUAAAAUAUAAAACUAUAAGACUAAGGUAAAAAUGUUUAGGACUAUGUGGAUUUUUAAACAUGACACUAAAAAUGUGGUCCCUAAAAUUUAGG